Molecule: long non-coding RNA, 2024 nt
Organism: Nycticebus coucang (slow loris)
Lineage: Eukaryota; Metazoa; Chordata; Mammalia; Primates; Lorisidae
Exons: 3
Source: RefSeq, a predicted model, not a curated record
GGCGGUGCCGGGGUGGGAGCUGGCGGCUGGGCCUGGGCGAGCGGGCGUCCUUCCACGGGUCUCCUCCACCGCCUUCCGUCCGCGGCUCUUUGCGUGUCAGUAGUCUCAGCGGGUUGAUUCAGGACAAACCUCCGGACUGUGAGCGCGUUUCAAGGGCAGCACUCGCCCCCGCGGUUGCCUGGAGGGGCGCUGGAGGAGGUGACAUAGCUAGGGACUCCAGGUCCGCCUGGGAAUGAUCCACGAACUGCUUUUGGCUCUGAGCGCGUACCCAGGGUCCAUUUUCACCUGGAACAAACGGAGUGGCCUCCAGGUGUCUGUCCCAGGGCCUCAGUAGAUGAGUACACUUUCCCCAGAUUCGUCAGUGGUACUGACACAUGCUGACUCCUUUGCUGCAUUACCAUGAAGUCUUUCCAGAUUUUAAACCACUCACAAAUAAGCACCUUCUGCCAAUUGAUCUAAGGAGACUGGUAGCCCUUUCCAGAGUAGUUAAUGAAGAUGGUAAUGAGAUUGGGCUGAACUCUGAUCCCAGAUGGCCUGCUGUGGACACCUUGACCUCGUUGAGGACUGUAAUGCCACUCACUGCUGCCCUUUGUCAGUUUUGCUAUUGUGUUCUUUGACAGUUUCCAAUACUGAUGACAGUGCUCAUAUCCAAACCAAUUUACAGUUAAUCUCACAGGCAGGCUCUCAUCAUCAAACUCUCAAACAAUUUGCAGAGAUGUCAACAUAUAAUACGAUGCAUUUGUUUUAUGUAAUAUAAUUCUAUCAGAAAGCCAGUCAAGGAUUUCUAACAUUUUUAUUCUCAUAACACAAAGUAGCAUAUCCAUUUAUAUUUUUAGCUAUGUGGCUGAUGGCUUUGUUUGGAAAUGAAGUUAUAAUUACCAGUGGUUUUUCUUGAAUCGUAGGAACAAAAUAUUUCACAGACAGAAGGAGACUAACAGGUCAUCUGCUAAAAACUCUCAUGUUUGUCCUUUUAUAUAUUCUCCCUAUUUGGCCCAUGAAAUACACUGGGCAGGAACUACCACACCAUUCUAUAGUUGAGGGGACUGUAUUUGAAAGAAAUAACAUGACUUGCUCAAGGUAAAAACAGUUAACAAAUGGUGCAUUAGCCUGGAACCCAAAUCUUUUGAUUUUUUGAUUACUUCUUUUUGUACUUUAGUGUGCUACCAUAAAAAGUAUAAAUACUCUCAGAGGGCUGUCAAAGUUAAAUAAUAUGAGUGGACAGUGGAUUGAAAAGUAUCUGUGUUUGAAAAACCAGGUAUUAUCAAAUAGGUAAAUGAUAGAAUUGUAGCCAGCAUGGAAAGUAUAUGCCUAAAACAUCCACAGAAGACAUUGCCCAAGACGUUGUUCUGGCCAAACAUACUGCAUAUAUUGAUUGCAUUUGGCCAGUGGGCUGCCCAGUUAUGACUCUUAUUUCAAUAUCUGAGAAAGGAAUGUUCCCUCAGCUCCUGUUCCCUCAAUCCCUAGUUUUUUAAUAUUUUGUCUUUGUGAGAAUGUUUGAUAUUUUCCUUCCCUUAUUCCUCUGUCAAGUAUUCAAAUCCUCAGGUUUUUAUAUUCAUUUUUGAAAAUCAUAUUCUUAACACAGACCACAUUAGACAUACAGUUAUCAUUAUGAUUAAGAUGAUUUAUGUAGAACAUAAGAGACACAGUCAAAAUUACUAGUGGGUUUCAAGAAGAGAUUUUUCCCUAGGGACUGAUAAAUGUGCAGAAACUUCCUGGAAGUUAUGAUACUUUAUCUGAGAUUUCAAUAAAUGGGCAGCCUUUAGAUGACAAUGAGAUUUAUCCUAUGGUCUCCAAAUUGAGAUACUCAAAACAAUCCAUUUAAAAAUUAAAAUAUUAUAUCUCUACUGAUUUUGUCUAUUCCUACUUAACAUUUUAUUUAAAUAUCAUAUAUAAAAACAUGUGUAGACUAAUAUCUAUAUGUAAAUUGUAAACAGACAUGUAUGUAAUUUCAGUAUGUUCUUAAAAUUUUUUUGAGUGAAAGUUGAGAUCAAGAGUUUGAAAACUCAUUGUAACCUAUGAUUGCA